Molecule: ribosomal RNA, 427 nt
Filed under: Vulcanibacillus modesticaldus
Lineage: Bacteria; Bacillati; Bacillota; Bacilli; Caryophanales; Bacillaceae
Description: bacterial SSU rRNA
Rfam family: Bacterial small subunit ribosomal RNA
Source: RNAcentral
UUUUAUGGAGAGUUUGAUCCUGGCUCAGGACGAACGCUGGCGGCGUGCCUAAUACAUGCAAGUCGAGCGAAGUUUAUGGGAGCUUGCUCCUAAUAAACUUAGCGGCGGACGGGUGAGUAACACGUGGGCAACCUGCCUGUAAGACUGGGAUAACCCCGGGAAACCGGAGCUAAUACCAGAUAAGCUGUUAGUACGCAUGUAGAUAACAGGGAAAGAUGGCGCAAGCUAUCACUUACAGAUGGGCCCGCGGCGCAUUAGCUAGUUGGUAGGGUAACGGCCUACCAAGGCGACGAUGCGUAGCCGACCUGAGAGGGUGAUCGGCCACACUGGGACUGAGACACGGCCCAGACUCCUACGGGAGGCAGCAGUAGGGAAUCUUCCGCAAUGGACGAAAGUCUGACGGAGCAACGCCGCGUGAGUGAUGAAG